Myxocyprinus asiaticus (Chinese sucker) is the source of this 1855-nucleotide long non-coding RNA. RefSeq lists it as uncharacterized. The transcript has 8 exons. Lineage: Eukaryota; Metazoa; Chordata; Actinopteri; Cypriniformes; Catostomidae. The record is from RefSeq and is a predicted model, not a curated record.
AUUUAUGUACGUUUUAGUUCAUUCUAUUGCACUCGAAACUUCCUAUAAAGUCAAGGCAAACAAGUGUGUCAUAGGUCAGCCAAGCUGGUCUGCCAAAGUUCACUACAAAGUUCAACCCAGUCUAUUGCAAUCCCUAAGUAAGAGAUCCGAAGAAGAUUGACAUUUGAAAUGCUUUUUACUGAAGCUCUCUUCAAAUACCCCAUUGAAUUCGCAAUAGUCAAUUUAGACACUCGUUUGCAUCCAUUUUUACUGCAUUCACCGAUUAUCUAAGAAAAAGGAACCUGAUUAGUUAAACUGAUUAGUUGUUACUGUUAAAGUCACACAUGUCGACAGCACUCGCAACAGCCCUUCAAGAAUGGGAGAUUCAAGAGAAAGAAUUCCAGAAGCUUCAGGAGAUCCAUCGACUCUACUUGCAGAAGUUAGAUGAAGCCUCCAAACUUCAAAAGAACUUUGCUGCCUCCAUAGCUCGACAAAGAAAGAAUUGAAAAGAGACAUCUAAGUGAAGAAUAAUAGGAGAAGAAUGCUGUGGAGGAGGUCAAAGGUCAUAUCCAGGAUAUGCCAAAUGUUUUCUUUCAAAUGGAAGCAUCUCUUCCUAAGAAAAAUGGGAUCUAUCUUAGCCUUGUCCCUGGCAGUGUGAAUGUCAACCUCCUGAGCAAAGAGUCCAAGCAUGUAUUUAUAUAGGCCACUUAUUCUGUGCAUGCCAAUAAAUUUAUGUCCAGACAUUAGCAUAAAGUCCAAAGAGUACUGUCCCAGUAUAUCAUAGUUUUCUCAUAAUUAAAGGUACACUCAGUAAUAUUUUCCUCAUUAAAAAGAUUUACCUAAAGAAAUUAAUAGUAAUUUUGAAACAUAGGUAUAAAUCAUGAGCAAUCAUAUUAGAUAAAGACUCCAGUCAUAUCAGUAACCUUAUAAAAGCUGUUUUAUUCUAAAUGGAGAAGUUGCCCUCAUGGGGGCUGCGAUAUUAGAAUCACAUGACCAGCCGAAUACUACUCGCUUAUUCUCAGUAACCACCUUGAUAUUGGACACUUUCACUCUUGUAUUAAAGUAAUCAUGGCUGACUGUGUAUAGUGAAUUUCUACAGUGGCAUCUGAAUAAAAACUAUUGAUUUUGAAUGAUGCUGCAUCCAAGCCGCUAGGUGUCACUAUACAUUCAAGAUGACACAAAUGCAAAAGUUACUGAGUGCACCUUUAAAUGAAUACUAUGAGAAAUAACUAUGUUAUAUAUGUAAUUGGCUCAUAUUUUAAACUGUAUCAUAUGCCUUUACUCCUUUACUGUAGAGCUGAAUAUAAAGAUGAAUAUGAAAGGUUCAAGCUGUAUGUGACCAUGACUCAGUUUCUGCUGACCUUCAUGUUUCGCUUCUUCAUUAGUUACAGAGAUGUGGAUGCCCUUCUUAACUUCCUAUUGGUUGGUACUAUUGCACCCUGACAAUCCAUGAAAGCAUCCUCAUCAGCAAUGGAUACAGAGGGAUUUCAGUCUUGGAUGAGGAGGGGACUGACAUUUCUUCUUCCCUUUCUUUUCUUGGGUCAAUUCUGGCAGCUUUGGAACAGUAUAUCCCUUUUCAGAAUGGCUCGGCUCACUGAGUAAAGAAUGGCAGGUGUCCAUGAUUUGCUUCUGCUUUCUGGUUCUGUUUAUGGGAACAUUUUUCACUACACUUGCAGUUGUCCAUCACAAGCGCAAGAACCAGGGAAAGACCAAGACCAAGCUGUGAAUUUUUGGAACUUUAAUGUAAAAAUUCAAAUGAAGAUUAAAUCAAUUUGUCUUUAAAAUUAGAAUGAAAAUUCUAGUUCAAAAUGUGUGUUACCAUAAACUGUACUUCAUCAUCUCACUAUUUUGUAGAGAAUAAGCAGAAUAUAUAUAU